RNAcentral lists this ribosomal RNA (583 nucleotides) under Botryosphaeria dothidea. RNAcentral's name for it is "eukaryotic LSU rRNA". The stretch from base 211 to 364 matches the Rfam family "5.8S ribosomal RNA". The record is from RNAcentral. Lineage: Eukaryota; Fungi; Ascomycota; Dothideomycetes; Botryosphaeriales; Botryosphaeriaceae.
UCCGUAGGUGAACCUGCGGAAGGAUCAUUACCGAGUUGAUUCGGGCUCCGGCCCGAUCCUCCCACCCUUUGUGUACCUACCUCUGUUGCUUUGGCGGGCCGCGGUCCUCCGCGGCCGCCCCCCUCCCCGGGGGGGUGGCCAGCGCCCGCCAGAGGACCAUCAAACUCCAGUCAGUAAACGAUGCAGUCUGAAAAACAUUUAAUAAACUAAAACUUUCAACAACGGAUCUCUUGGUUCUGGCAUCGAUGAAGAACGCAGCGAAAUGCGAUAAGUAAUGUGAAUUGCAGAAUUCAGUGAAUCAUCGAAUCUUUGAACGCACAUUGCGCCCUUUGGUAUUCCGAAGGGCAUGCCUGUUCGAGCGUCAUUACAACCCUCAAGCCCUGCUUGGUAUUGGGCACCGUCCUUUGCGGGCGCGCCUCAAAGACCUCGGCGGUGGCGUCUUGCCUCAAGCGUAGUAGAACAUACAUCUCGCUUCGGAGCGCAGGGCGUCGCCCGCCGGACGAACCUUCUGAACUUUUCUCAAGGUUGACCUCGGAUCAGGUAGGGAUACCCGCUGAACUUAAGCAUAUCAAUAAGCGGAGGA